RNAcentral lists this long non-coding RNA (468 nucleotides) under Pan troglodytes (chimpanzee). RNAcentral describes it as "long non-coding RNA NONPTRT010929". The record is from RNAcentral. Lineage: Eukaryota; Metazoa; Chordata; Mammalia; Primates; Hominidae.
AUGAAGUGAGGAAGAACAAAAAGGGCCUGGGCCAGCUGUCUGGCGCUCUGUCAAGGAGCAUUUCUAGAAGUGUCACCUGACAUUUCCACUUAUAUGUCAUUGAUCAGACUUUAAUCACAUAGACACAGCAAGGUUGGAUGAGAAAUACAGUCUUUUGUCUCAGCAGUUUCAUCCCUUGAAUAAAAUCAUGGUUGCGUUACUGGAAAAGAAGAGCAAAACAGAUAUUGGGAAGGCAGCUAGCCAUCUCUGGCAUAAAUGCCAAUUUCAGAAGUAAGUAAGAAUGAAGUACGUCUGAUGGAAAUAAACAUAAAAUCAAAGAUCAACAGGAGACAAACUAAAAUGGCUACCAAAAUGAAUGUGAACACAUCCCAGAAGAGAAUUGGAAAACAAAAUGUCCUUCUCUUCUUAGCCCCAUGUGAACUGUGAGCUCCAGAAGGAAGAGACCCUGUGCGCCUCAUCUCUCAGUUC